Peromyscus leucopus (white-footed mouse) is the source of this 723-nucleotide long non-coding RNA. RefSeq lists it as uncharacterized. The record is from RefSeq and is a predicted model, not a curated record. The transcript has 3 exons. Lineage: Eukaryota; Metazoa; Chordata; Mammalia; Rodentia; Cricetidae.
GGCUGGACCUUGAAGGGUGGAGUCUGGUGGGAGUUAGCUGGCUAGGUCUUAGGCACUGUCCUCAGUGAGAUUAAGAUUGCUCUCCAGUGACAUUUAAUUAUCUCCUGAGAGGAAGUUAUUACAAAUGAGUGAGCCUGACUCCACAGUCCCUUACUCUCCUCCUCACUUUCCAGCUUCUGUCUUGCCAUAAGAUCUCUCCUUUUCUCCCAGACAUCACCAUGAUGAGACAUACACAGAGGGGCUUUACCCAAGCAAGCUCCAUGCUGUUGCUGUUGCCUCCAAAACUAAGAAGAAGAGGAGGAGGAGGAGGAGGAGGAAGAAGAAGAAGAAACCCUUGCAAUGUUUUGAUAACCAAACUAGCGUUUCAUUCCUGAAGGUUUGGAAAGGCCCCAGGAGAUUUUCAAAACUGCUCUCUGUGUCUCAUUAUGAACCCCUAGCUGGCCUUGGACUCAUUAUAUAGACCAGCUUGGCCCUGAAUUUAGAGAGAUCUGCCAGUCUCUGCCUCCUGAGUGCUGAGAUUAUUGUGCCACCACACCUGACUAAGAAUAAUAAUUUUAACUGAGAAAAUUACAUGAAACUUGAAUUUCAGUGUUCAUGAAUAAAACUUUAUACCUGUUCAAAACCAAGUCUGUACACAUUCAAUCAGAUGCAAUUUUAUGCAAAGAAUUUCCUGUAUUUGGUUUAAUCUGCAGAUACAGAAUAAAAAUAUGUGAAUACAGUGAA